Molecule: long non-coding RNA, 17675 nt
Filed under: Vitis vinifera (wine grape)
Lineage: Eukaryota; Viridiplantae; Streptophyta; Magnoliopsida; Vitales; Vitaceae
Description: long non-coding RNA (VVIN_LNC000911)
Source: RNAcentral
UGGAAUUCAAAAUCCUUUUACUAAAGUGCGUACAGCUCAGCAUCCACGCAGCACUGACAAGGGGCAACAUUGUAGUUUCACGAAAAUUGCGUUUCUCGAGGCCGCUUUGUACUCUUGCGAUAAAAACAAGGAACUACUUCUAAGGCGUAUGUCUACCUGAAUAAGAUACCGUUGCAUGACAGCCUGGUGGACUUUGGUAGACAUCGAGUGCUAGGAAUCAAGGAAGAUGUUCCCUUUAGUGAUACGGAAACAUUUCACUUUCCUAAAACUGACUACCGACAAAAUUUUGGCUGUACUUAGCGUACCACGUCAUCAACAUCAGACUUAGUGUCCUACGUGGCAUCUUGCGGCCAGCAUGGCACGUUGCUUUCCAACCUUUAUAUACGUUUCUGUGCUCUCUCCCCAUAGUCCUCACAGAAAACAUUUGGCAUGGAAGAGGGCGUCGUGAAGGCGUUGGACUCUGAUUACUCCGGCGACUUGGCCGGACUGUUUCCUGAGAUUCUAGCUGUGCCGGAAGGCGAUGAGUCCUUGCCGGGGUUUCAGUUCAAGGAAGAGAUGGUGGAGGAGGUCAUGCAGGAGCUGUGGAAGGAGAUAAGCUCGCCACCGGCGAGAAGACCCUCGCCGGAUUUGCAGGGGUUCGUCGUUGGAACCAGUAGGGAGAGCUGCGGGGCAUCGUUUUCUGACUCAGCGUCGACUGUGAUGGCCGGCGUUGAGAUGGCUGGUGGUGGUGGCAGUGGUGUAGUGGGGACUUCUUUGGUGGGGCUCGCCGGCCGGAGAGCGGGGAGGGCUGCGGCGGGAAAAGGGUCGGCGAUGGAGGUGGCGAAGGAGGAGUGUUACGUGCCGGAGUUUGUGGCAGUUGGUGGGGAGAGAAUGGACGGCUGUGAUGGUCUGGAGUUUGACGAUGAGUGGCUGUCGAGAGUCCUGAGUUGGGGCCCACUGGAUCUUGAUGACUGGACCUGAAGGUUCUCGUACAGUUCAAACCCUCUCCCGUACAGUUCAUAUUCUAGGCUUAGGCUUCUAGGGGCUGUUUGGCAUCUCUCUCAUUUUCCUCCUUUUUCUUUUCUUUUCUUUUCUUUCCAUUUCUCCCUUUGUAUCUUUCGUUUUCUUUUCCCACAUAUGACCAACCGCCCAUGAAGAAUUCAGUCCCAAAAAACAAAAAAAAAAAAGUGCUUUUCUCAAUUCAUCUUAUCCCUUCUCAUUAAAUCCAUAAUUAAGAAUAGUAAACUUCUAAGUUUAAUAAAAAAAAAAAUUAAUUAAGAUUAAAUCACUUCCAUCACUCUUAUCACAAAUCAAUAAUCAUUAAUUAGUCAAUAGUGAUAUUGUGCAAUCACUUUCAACAUAAUUAGAUAGUUUCAUACGUAUCUUCUAUAACCAAUUCCAUAAAAUUACCAUUUCUAAUCAUUCUUAAGCAUAUCUUUUGUCUAGUCUUUUCCAAGCAAGAAGCCAGUAGUUAGGUUUUUGAGUAUGAUUUUCUCCAAAUAUAAAGUGUGACAAGCCUUGAAUUCAAUUAAUCUAAAGAUGGAUGUAUAUGCUAAGUUUGAAAUGUGAUUUUUAAGAGAAGAUGAUUGAGAAACAUCAAGAUGGGAUUAGGUGGGAUGUAGAAGAAGAAAAAGGUAGAGAAUGGAAAUUAAUUUUCAUAUGAAUAUCGAGUUUUCUUCUUAGUUUUUCAUACAUUUAACAUGAAAAGGAUGCUUAAUUUGUAUCUUAAUGUCAAGUCAUUGUAUUUGUACCACUUAAUGGUGUGUGUGUUAAAUGCUUGAUGUUUUUCCUUUUUAGGGUUCUACUUUUAAGAUCUUGAAUUAAGGGUAUUUCUUAAAUCAUUUUUCAUCUUAUUAAAAAAGGGUUAAUUUCAUUUAUUUUCUCCUGAAAUUUUGAUUAAAUACAUCUUUUUGGUAUAAAUUUAAAAUUUAAAAAAAAAAACGUGAAAAUUAAAGAUGACAAUGGUAGAUGAAGUUUUUGAUAAAAUUUUAAACCUAUAAGAGUGAAAUAUAUUUAAUCAAAACCUCAAAGAUGAUGACUUGCUAAUUUAAGUGUGUGAUUUCGUCACCGAUUCAUAUACUUUGGAGAAUUAAUUUCUAGUAGGUGUUAAAAGCUCUUUUUUAUUUGAACUCCGUAAAUUUAUUGUAAAGGAUCGACUUUGAUGUCACUUGUCCCCACGGAUCUUAUUUGAUCAGCCAAUCUUAAGAUACGUGAACGACUUGUGCACUACGAACCAUCUGCCUUCUUCCCAUCUAGAGACAUGUAGCCCUAGUUGGGACUUAGGAAAUAGAACCCAUGGCCUCUAGCACCAUCUCACCCGCAGCCCCUAGACUCUGAUUUUGGAUUUAAGCAUCCAAACUUCAAUAAGAGAAUCUUUACUGUACUUGUCAGCCAUUGAAGACAAAAUGGCUCUUAGACUUUCCAUUUCUCUUAGAGCUAUCCAUUUUCCACAUAAAUCCUUGCUUUACCAAACAGAGACUUGGGAGUUCAUGACUGAACUAUUGGCUAUGGUAAUGGUACAAAAUGUGUAACAUUAUUUUGAUGAUUUGGACCCCUAUUGGACCCCAGAAUCUUAUUACCAUUUCCAAAUUUUCUUGCUUCCCAAACACAAAAUAAUAGUUGAAAGUUUGAAACCAUUCCAUUUUGAGAGACUGCAACCUUUUUCUACCACAUGGGCCUUUAGGGUUUGGGACCAUAGUCAUUGCCUUUAUUUUUUAGGUCAGGGGUCCUAUAAAAAGGAAGCCCUAUCUUUGUUUCACAGCCAAUGGGUCACUGUUUAUUUGCCCUUUUAAGUGCAUAUAAAGCCACCACUCACCAACUAGCUUCGUAAAACUACUUUUCCCAAAAAUAUAAUGAUAUGUUUUGUAAUUUUUUUUAAAAAAGAAAAAAUAUUUAUGUAUUAAAAAAGUAAUAAGAUAAUAUUGCUAUACAUAAAGUACUUAAGAAUUUCAUAUAUUAAUCCAUUUUCUUUUUUCUUUUUUUUUUGUUUAUCCAAAUGAUAAGAAUUCAUAAAAUAUUAGAAAAAAUAUUCAUUAUUAUUUUUAAAUAAUUUUUGAAGAUUGAAAUUUGCUAAAAACUUUGGUGUUGGAGAGUAAGUGUAUCCCAAGAUUGGGCCCCCAAAAUUAACAAAUCAGGUUUGGGCCUAAAAAUGAAAAGGGCCAGGGCUUUUGAAGCCGAAACCUUUGAUCUGGCCCAUUUGUAUUGUUUUUGUUGGGCUUCUUUUUGGUUGAAUAACCUGACGGCCCAAAUACAGUCAGCAUCUCGGGCCCAUUAGAUAAUGCAAUGUUUUUCUCUUUUCAAAAAACAUAAAUAUUUGAUAUAUUUUGGCCUCCCUUUUCUUUAAAAUAUUUUCUUACUUUUUAAAGAUUUAAAAUAUUCUUUUCAUACAGACAAUCACUUUUACAAUGAAAAUAAUUCAAAAGUAAUAUUUUUAUUUUCAAAAAUUAAUUAUUUUUAUUUUUUGAUGUCACGUUAUUUCUUUGGUGCCGUUUGAUUUUUUUUUUUUUUUUUGAAACUUAAUAUAUAAAUUGUUUGAAUUACUUUUUCAACACCAUUAAGGGUAAUCGAGAAGUAACUUACAUGUAUAUUGAAUAGAUAAUUCAAAGAGUUUAUAUAUUUGGAUUCACAAAGAAUUACAUAAAUAGUCUACUAAAUCUAAUAAAAAUACACGAUUUUACCUAAUCUGAAUGCUAAUGCUAAGGGUUUUAUAUUCAAUGAUGUAACACUUUGUACUCUUGAGUGGAUAAUCUUAACAUUGGAAUAAGUGAUUUGAUGUGCUAUGUCCUUCUAUUGAAAUGACUUGCAAUACGGUUCUUGAAAGAUCUUGAAAUGCUAGGUCACAAUAUCCAAUUUUUUGUUGGAAUGUCUAGAUUACUCUAUUUCAAACCUUAAAUCAUUGGGGUACAUGUAAGAUUAUCCAAGGAUCUUUAGAUGUAUGCAAUAGAAGCAUUUGAAAUAAUGAAUCUUAAAUCCAGGUGCUUAGAAAAUAAUACUUAUGAUUUAGAUGUUUUUAAAUCAAUUCUAAGUGAUAAAGAGGGCAAUGCAAAUCUCAAAUACUUCGUAAUCUUUUACCCGAUGGCUCAUUUUUGGACCUUGACACAUAAGGAUGGUGGAAUCUUUUCUGUAAGGAUGAAGACUAAGGUUCUUUCUCUCUCUCAAAGACUAAAUAGCAAAUAUUGCAAGUACUUGAUCCUUAAGGAGGUUUUAUAUAGUUUUUUUUUUGUAGGCUUAAGUGACUUGAGUCAAUCUUAGGCUUAGGUCACUCAAUCUAAUCCAUUAAGUCCUAAUUAAUUAAUUAGCCUUAUUGGAAUCUAAUUAAUUAAUUUGUUAAAUCCAAAAAGACAUUUCUUAAGCUCUUAUGCAACUUUGCAUAUGUAUUAAAAUGCCAUUGUUUAUACAUAUAAAUAAAGAACCCAACCAUUUUUCAAAUAAUGUAUCACCAAGGAAUAUGAGCUCAAGUGAGGAUCACUUAAACACAAAGAAAAAAUAAUGGCUCCCUCAUAAUCAAAUUUUGAAGUUAACUUAACAUCCCACUAUAGAGAAUUUAUUAUACUUUAGUAUCCUAUGAUAUUAAAUUAGGAUGCUAAACUCAGGUUCAUGACCUGCUAACAAUUGUAUGCAAACUCCCUCUGAAUUAAUGUUUAUAAUCUAAUGAAAUGAAUACUAUUAACUUCUCAAGAUUACUUCUACCAUUCUUGAGUCUAAGAUCUUUUUAUUUUGUGAUUAAUUGAUAUACUCUAACGGGUAUAUGUCAAAUUCCAUUUAAGGAAUUAUUUUAACCACAUAUUGCAUGAUCAUAAGUCCUUAAGAUCAUCUAAUGGGAUAUACUAUCUCAAACCCAUGAUAUAUCUCAUGGUGUUGAGAAAUAUAUGACUAUUUUAGGGUUUCACUCGUGGGUUAAAGCUACUGAAAAUCUUAAUACUAGCUCAAUAUUCUUUUAAAGCUAGGAAUUCAUGCAACAAAGUAACUUGAUGAAGUAAUAACUAUUUGAUAGCAAAUUUCAUAACUUAAUGCAAGUCAUGUCUUGUGAAACCAUACACAUUAGUGCACUCACCAUAAAAACCCUAUCUCAAUGGCUAAAACAAGUCAUCUAUUCAAUUGGGAGGUAGUGUAUUAAACCUAUUAGAAAAUUUUGGCCAAUCCAACCUAAGGUAAUCACCCUAAAGGGAGAGGGGAAGGGGGGUGAAUAGGGUGAUGGUCUUUUUUUGCAAAUUUAAUUUAUGAGAAUGUAAGAGAUAAUUACAUGUAAAUAUAUAAUAAAACAAUAUAAAGACAAUUGUAUAUAAAGUAAAAGAGUAGGGCAGAGAGAAUGCAAACACAAGAUUUUUAUAGUGGUUUGGCGUAACCUGACCUAUGUCCACUCUUCUCUAACUUCAAUCUCAAGCUUAAGGUUCCACUAAUUCAAGGUUUCCAAACAAAACCUUUAAGUAAUACAAUUGGAUUAUGGUUAUAAUACACUUUCUUGGACUUUGGCUUUAAGUACCCUUUACAAUCCUUAAGAGAUAUCUUUAAGUGAUAUCUCACACUUAAAUUUUUCUUCUCAAAGAUUUACAAAUAAUUUCACAAAAUCUUAGUACAAAACUUUAGACUCAAAUGUAUAAGAAAAAUUAUGAUUGAAUGGUGCACUAAUGAUAUGUAAGUUUUAGAAUAAUGAUGUACUCGAAAACACUCUUUCAAGGCUUAAAUAUAUUUAAGAAAUGUUUAGGAAGGUUAAGUUCUUGAAACAAUGAAGACUGUAACCUUUUUAUAGAGAAAAAUGACCAAACUAGCCAUUCGGGGUUUGAUCGGUUGAGUUGGGGGUCAAUUGGUUGACUACCCGUUAGCAUUUAAUGUUUGGCAGGUGAUAGUUGGACCUUGAUCGUCCCUUAAUUGGUCCUAGACUGGUUGAACAAGUGUUUUGGAAGAGAGAUAAGGUUUUUGCACCCUUUGAUCGUUUGAGUUGAAUAGAUUGAUCGAUUCCUCGUCCAGUUCAACCAGUUGAGUAGAUAAGGUUUUUGCACCCUUUGAUUGUUUGAGUUGAAUAGGUUGAUCGAUUCCUCGUCCAGUUCAACCAGUUGAGUCGUUUUUUAUUCAACAAUCAUAAUUUUCAACUUAAAACUUUUUAAACAAGAUUGGAAAGUAUUUGACACAAGGUUUUAGUUGAAAACAUAAAAUUAUCCAAUUUUAGAAGAUUUAAAACAAAAUAACUCUUGGAUGAUUUUUCGUGCAUAAAUAAAAAAUGUAAUGCAUGAAAACUUAAUACACUAACAACCUUACAAAGAGAUUCUAUGAAGCUUAGGUAUUGAAAACAUUUUUCUUCGAGGUUUUUUUUCUUCUUAUUGAUUUCCCUUUGACUUGAUUUUGUCUUUGUAAUUGUCACUUUGGAAAUCUUCUUGUCUAAUCACACUUUAUAAUCAUUAGUUCCAAACUUUGUUUUGUUAUUAUCAAAACCGAGAUUAGCCAAACUCUAGUUUCAUACAACCUUCGAUAGAUUACUUAAAUCUGUGAACUAGCUGUGAAUGAGUUAUUAACUUGCAAAGAACCCAUGACUUAGAUCUUCUGUAUAACUUUUAAUGCACUCAAGUUAUGUACAAUGCAAAUUAUGCAAAUGAUGCAAACAUGAAUGAACAACAUAAAUAUUACCUAAAUAGGAAAAAUGUGAAAAAAGAACCAAAAUCAUUAAUGAAAUUCAUUUAUAAUUAUAUUAUGUCAUACUUUUAGGGGCUUUAUUUCAUCAAUGUUGAUUUUCUUUCCUUAGUUUCCAAAGCCUAUUCUGCAUCACAAAACACAAUAAGAUCUAAACUACUUGACUUUAUGAGAUGAAGAUCCUGAUUAAGACACCUCUAAAGUAUCUAAAAAUCCUCUUAACUAUUUUCUAGUGUGACUUAAGAGACUUCUACAUAAAUUGAUAGACUUUGUUCCUAUUGAAGGCUAGUUUAAACCUAUUGAUGUCACAUAUUGUAAAGUCCCUUGAAUGCUUUUACACAACUAAACUAAGUCCACAUAUCAUAAAGACACCGACACUUCUAACAAAUGGUAUUUUAGCUUUGCAUUGCAAAUUAGUUAUGUACUCAGUCUAAGACAAAUAUAAACCUUCUAUAGUGCACUUCACUUGAAUUCCCAAAAAGUAAUCAAUGAGUUCUAAAUCCUUUAGGCCAUGUUUGGCAUGAGAGAAUAAAGAAUGAGAAUUAACAUCUCAUUCGUUCUCUAAUCCAUUCUUAUGUUUGAAUAACUAAAAUGACAAUGGGAAUAAAAUAAAAAAUGAUCCCCAUAUAAAUGAAAUCUCACUCAUAAGUGAGAUUUUAAUUGAUCUCCAAUACGAGAUAUUUUGAUUCUUUCAAUGCAAGAAACAAUAUGGAAUAUGUUUAAAUUAUUAUUUUAUCCCCUCAUUUCCAUUAGAUUUGUAUGGCUUUUUAUGAAUAAUUUUUUAUAUUCAAUAAAUAUUAUUUUCCUUAUUUUAUUAUUUAACAAAAGAAAUCUUUUAAAAUGAAAAUGAAAAUUUGUUUUAAACUUUAUGUGAGGGUAUUAUUGUCAAUUUAAUUUAUUUUCCAUUCACAUCCACAUUAUUACCAAAUGUUCCAAUGGAAAUAAAUAAUCAUUCUAGAAUUACAUUCCUAAGUGUAUUCAAUCAUAAAAUUUUGAAUCACCAAAUUCAUUCCUAUUCAAGAAAAAAUUGGAAUGAAAAUAAAAUAUUCAUUCUCAUUUCUCAUUCAUAUGUACCAAACAUGGUAUUAAAGCAAAUUGCUUAUUCAACUUUGUUAUCAAACUUUGCACUUAUGCAUCACUGCAUCCUAUAAUUAUAAUAUCAUUGACAUAAACAAGAUAGGAUAAAAGUAGCAUGUUGAGCAAUGAUUCUAACAAAUUAAGAUUGAUCCAAUCUAGUUGAUUUGAAACGUAGCAUGAUGAGGAUCAUGUGAAGCUUUUCAAACCAAGCUCUUAAAGCGUGUUUCAAACCCAUAUAGUGACUUAUGCAAACAACAUGCUUACGCUGAAUGCUCUGGAUCUUGAAAAUUACGUGGUUGCUCCAUAAAUACUUCCUAUUACAAGCCUCCAAUGAGAAAUGCAUUGUUAAUGUCCAACUAUCUCAUUGACCAACUUCUUGUUAAAGCAAUUAUGAAAAUUAGUUUAAUGUUGACUUUACAAUGGGGCUAAAAGUUUCAUUAAAGCCAAAGCUAGCAACUUGACAAAACCCUUUAGCCACAAGCAAAACCUUGUGUUAAUUAUGAAUUGUAUUACAUGAGUUUUCUUAACCAUACCUUUGAAAAUCCAUUUGUAGUCUAUCACUUUUCUCCUUAUAGGGUAAGUUAACAAAUGACAAAGUCUCAUUUCUCAUGAGAGCAAGAUAUUCAUCUCUAAUAGUAGUUUGUCAAUGCUUAUUUUGUAACGUUUCCUCAAUAGAUUUUGGUUCUCAAGCAACUAUGAAAACUUUUAGCUUGAAAAUAUCGUCGUUUAACCUUGUUACUAUGUUGUGAGUAUUACCAAACUAUGAUUUGUUUGUAUAGGAAAGAGCUAAAACAAGUUCAUCAUACUAAUAAUAGGUACUAUAGAUUCAAUAUGCUUAUUAGUAACAUUCUCAUAUGGAAUAGGUAGUUCAAAUAAGGCCUAUUUGUGAUACAUUUGGUGGAUAACCUAAAAAAGAAGGAAUAUAAGAGGUUUGAGAAGGAUAUGAUGAUAAAGAAAAAGUAGAGAAGAUAGUUGAGUGGACACAUCAAACUAGGAAAAUGAAUAUGAAGUGAGACUACUUGCUAUGUGUAUCUUCUUGACAAAGAAAAAGGAAUGCUCAUCAAAUAUUAUAUAAGAGAUAAAAAUUUUACCAAAAUCAGUUAGACAUUUAUAAUCCUUAUAAUUCAAACUAUAUUUAAUAAAAGUGCACUUAAUAGAAUGAAAAUCUACUUUAUAAUAAUUGUAAGGUUUAUUAAUGUUUGGAUAACAAAGACACCUAAACAUUUAAAUGCUUUAUUCUCGACUAUGGUAUGAAAAGAAGACUUUUGAGAUAAACUUAUUGUGACAUCUAGGGGUUGACAAUCUAUUGAAUAGAAAAACAAAAGCACUAAAUGCGUCGUCCUAAUAUUUUAAAGGAUGGACCAAUAAUAUAUAUCAAGUACUUUACACUAAAGCUACAAUAAUUCAAAAUACAAUUACAAGAGAAAGAUCGGAGAAAUAGAUCACGAGGCCUCAAAUAUUGAAGGAGUUAGAUAUUGGGAUGACAAUAUAUAUCAAAUGUCAAAAUCCUAUUAGUUUAUCAACGUAUGGAAAGAUAAUUUAAUUCAUCUCUUGAAAAAUCAAAUCCUAAUAUUAUGUUUAAUUAUGAAUAUAAUCUAAAAUUUAAAUUAUUAAAUAUUAUUUUAUUCAAUUUUUUUUAGAACAUCGUCUAGUAAUACUAUUUGAUUUUUCUAUUUUUAUUUUUAAGUUUCAUUGAGACCACUUGAUCUUGAGGUAGGGAAGAGGAGAGAGAGAGAGAGAGAGAGAGAGAGAGAGAGAGAGAGAGAGAGAGAGAGAGAGAGAGAGAGAGAGAGAGAGAGAGAGAGAGAGAGAGAGAUUGGGGGACCCUCAGCCAUUGAAGGACAAUGUCAUUUAGCUAAAACUUGAAGGCCCCCCAAGGUUAAGGUGACUAAAUUUUGAAUAUUAGGACACACAAUGCUCCAUGUUGUGUUGUGUCAAUGUCCCUUUCAUCAUCAAUCUUAUAGGAAACACGGGCAACAGCUGUGUCUCUCAACUUGCCUACGUUGCAUACCUCUUCAUCUUUAAUUUCAAUGAUCAUCAAAUUUUAUGCCCAUUUAUCUAGUCAACCGAUAUUUAUCUAUAUUUUUAUGAGUUGACGUGGAAAAUAUUUGCUUGGGUGGUGUGAAAUUCAGGAGCUUUGUGAGUCAUUCAUUGUUGUUUUAAGGGAUUAAAUCAUUUGUUUGGUUCUUUUCUGAAUGGUUUAGCAAAGGAGAUAUGUGAUUUCUAGAGGUCCACUUAAUUUGAUUAGAUAAGGCAUAGACCAAUGGGAGUUGCAUUAAUAUCUAUGGAUAAUUGUCUCCUAUAUAUGGUUGCCAUCACUUUGAAUUUGAUCACCAAAACCUUGAUUUUUUUCUUCUUGUUGAUCAGUGAACACGGGUUAGAAGUUAUGUUUAUUCAAAACACAUUAUAAGUGUUUUUCCAAUAAUAUUAAUUAAUUUUUUAAAAUUUGAAAUGUGUUUCCUUAAUUUUGUUAAACAUUUAAAUCCUUUUUAAAUUAAAAGUAUUUUUUAGAAUUAUUAUCAAACGAAAUCUUAGUUUAUUUUAUUGACAUUUAUAUUAACUUGAUAACUUUUAAUAACAUUUGGCCACUAAAACAUAAAAUUUUUAGCUUUCUUUUUAAAUUAUUAUAAUAUUUUUUUUUAAAAAAAGGAAAAUUAAUCUUAACCUACAUUGUUUUUGUUUUUUACUUAAUUUUAAAUGAAAUUUAAUAUUAAACAAUACUUAAUAGUGUUAAGGAUUAAGUCUUUUAGUUUUUCAAUAUUUUACUUUUAUUAAGUAUUAAGAAGUAAAUAAAAACUAAUAAAUUAUUUUAAAUAUUAAAAUUUUUUGAAUUUUUCUAUUUAAUAAAAAAUUUAAAAAUAAAUAAUAAAUUAAUAGAAAAUAAAAAACAAACCAUCUGAAAUUUUAAAACUAAUUGCUUUCAUCAAAAAGUGUUAAAAAAAAAAAUAAACAACAUUUAUCUUUUAGAAACUAUAACUUUAAUAAAAAUUUAGACGUAUUUUGAAAUUACAAUCUUAAUACCAAUUUAGAGAAGUAGUAUUUUAAAAAUGUGCUUAAUAUAAAUUCAAAACCCCCCUUUUAAAGCUAUCAUCUCUAAAUUUUAACAACCAGAUUUUACUUUAAACAAUCGUUUGGGUCACAUCCAAAACUUAUAUUUUGUUGGGGUAAUGGGCAAUUUGACCCAAAAUUCUAGUUUAGCAGCAAAUGACCAUAUAAUAGAAUCAAGAACUAUGUACCAUUUCAAUGUGAAAAGUUUCAUGGUUGAAGCCUCUUUAAUUCUUUGUUUGGAUGAUCUGAAUCUGAGUUGUGUGUAUAUGGAGAGAAGAAAAGUGUUGCAGAUGGGGGAGAGGAGCGUGGAGCCUUAUCCAAGCAUGGGCAGAGGGAUAUUCCAACAUUGUGACAGGCAUGAUGAAACACUACUCUAGUAGAAGACAGGACACAACUUGGGGAAACCAUUAAUGGAGCCCUAGAUUGAUCUUGAUUUUGGUCAUCUACUUUCUGGCUUCAAUGGGAAGGUUUAUCACGUGGGGAUCAUCCAAAAUUAGCUGCAUAAAUAUGAUGAAUAUUUUGAAAACACAAAAAAUAAGUUUUAAGUACAUUAAUUUUUGAAAUAUAUUUUUAUUUUUAAAAGACGUUGAAAACUGUUUUUGAAAAUUAUUCUCGAAAAUAUUAUCCAACGGCUGUGCAAAUGUGGGAAACCAAUUGGAUUGGAUCCAAGGGAGUGUGACUGGGAGUUGGAAGUAAUCAUUGCUUGCUCAUGCAUGUGAUUGUGAUCAGAAAGUACUCACCCUGAGUUUUGUAAAUGGAAGAAGCAAGCAAAUUCUACCAUCAUUCAACAUGAUUGGUUCUAUCCUGUAGCUUAAUUUGGAAAACUCUACCAUGUAUGAAAAGCAAAUCUAACCUAAUUGAUGGUCCUAUAUAUACAUAUUUGACUCGAGGUAGCCAGAUGAAAGAGCUUUUUGGUUGUAUUUCUUUGUUUGGUUAGGGGGAAAAUUUUAUCAAAAAAUGAAGGGAAAAAAGAAGACAAGGAAAGGGAAAAGAGAGAUGGGUAGCCUGUUUUUCAACUGAGAAUGAAUGGUAAAAGAGAAAAAAUUCAGAAGAUUGAUGGGAAAAGGUGUGGGGACUAAAAGUGGGCCUAUAAGUAUCACUGUCCUUUGCCUGCACAGGCAUUAGAUGCCUUUUGGCAAUACUAAGGAGUAAAAGAUGCUCCCAUGCAACCCUCUUCUCCCUCACUCCUCAUCUCCCUCAGUCAUCCACAAUCCCCCCUCUUCCCUACUACUCCAAACACCAUUUAUCAUAACAUAGUAUGAGAACAAUUCAAACUUUAUAUAUACCUAGCCCUAUUAUAACAAUGAACCUAAACCAAAUCAUUUUUUUCCUCGAUUUGAGCCAAUCCUUGUAUGUCCAUUAGGUUUUUAAUUAGCUUGAUAUACAUUGUUGAUCCAUUUUUUUUAACAAAAUAAAACUAACCAUCUUUUGUCUCUUCUUACUCUAAACAAUAUUUAUUAUUGACAGACUACGAAGACAAUUGAUAUUCUAGCUAACGGUAUUAUAAUAAACCCAAUUCAAAUCAUUUUUUAUUUUAAUUCAAGCCAAUCUAAUUAUUACCCAUUAAGUUUUUAGUUAACUUGAUAUAUAUUAUCAUAAUUCAUUUUUUAACAAAAUCAGAUUGGCCUCAUCACAAUGAACUCAACCCAAAUCCAUUUUGUGUGAUUCGAGUUGGUCCAAGUGAUACCCAAUAAGUUUUUAGUUAGCUUGAUAUAUAUUGUUGACAUGAACGGCCAUCAGAAGAUCUUGAUAUUUUACAGCAUACUGUCCAAAUAUAGGAGCCUAGGACCAACUCAAUUGCGCUUGGCUAGUAUGUAGUGCAUUGAUGACUUUGGAUCAAUGAUUGUGGGGACGAAGGAGAGCAUGUGAUGUGUAGAUUAGAUCAACCUCAAUGCAAUAAGAGAACAGCAUAUACUGAUCUGUACAUAUUUAUUGAAUUUGAACUUGUAUGAGCUAGAAGGGUGGAAAUUUUUUUAUUGCAGAUAGGGUUUUUGUCAUACUGGGGCCGAGUAGUAGCAUUCCGCACCUCCUUUUGGUUUGUCCUUUUAACUUGUUUGUUUGGGUGACAUGAAGUCACGUGAAUGGCUUUAAGGCCUCACCCUUGCACCCCUCUCUCCCAGUCCCAGUCUUCCUUAGACCCUUUGCCUCUAUUAAUUAGGCCUUUAGCCUUGUUUUUCACCUUUAGGAGACAUCAUCGAUCCCUCUCUCUUCUGAUCUCACCAUGACUCCAGUUUUUCUGAACACUUCAUCAUCUUCUCCUUUUCCUGCUCUGGAGCUUAAAGAAGAUCAUCAACACUUCCAGCUCCUUUUUAGUACAAACCCACCAUCAUACCAAGCUUCUUCCUCUCACCCAUGUCCUAGUUUCUUCAACUCAAGUACUCAAUCUCAGAGAGGAGAUCAUAGCCCUAGAGACCCCCAACAGCAUGAAGAUAAGGCAAGAACAUAUGAAUUCAUUACUAGAGUGAAAUUCAACCUUGUUUUCUGAUCUGAUAUGUAGUUUCCUUUUUCUGUUCUUUUUUUUAUAUCUGAUAUAUACAUAUUGAUCCUUUUUUUUCUUGAUCUUAGGAUGAUAAGUACAUUUCCCAUGGAGGAUGUGGUGAAAGCCAAGUAUUCUCAUCUUCUUCACUCCUGCAGCCCAUGGCGGAUGACAAUAAGAGCAGCCACAAAUUGUCGGUUUUUAAGAAGGAAGAAGGAGAUGAAGGUAAUAAAAGUACUGAGAAAUGGAUGUCUUCAAAGAUGAGGCUGAUGAGAAAAAUGAUGAACUCGGAUUGCACUACAGCGAAAAUCGAGCAGAAGGUUGAAGAUCAUCAGCAGUGGGACAAUAUUAAUGAGUUCAACUCUUCCAACAAUACUAGUAAUAUCCCAAUUAGAGUCUGCAGUGAUUGUAACACAACCAAAACCCCUCUUUGGAGGAGCGGUCCUAGAGGUCCCAAGGUUAUAUACUUACCUUCUAUUUCUUUCUGUGUUAAUUGGUUUGUACAGUACUUAAAGAUCUCCAUUAACAACAUCUUGAUCUUCAUUACUUGGCAUGGCGAUGCAGUCACUUUGCAAUGCCUGUGGAAUUAGGCAAAGGAAGGCGAGACGAGCCAUGGCAGCAGCGGCAGCAGCAGCAGCGAAUGGCACAGCCGUUGGGACCGAGAUAUCGCCUAUGAAGAUGAAGCUGCCCAACAAGGAAAAGAAGAUGCAUACAAGCAAUGUAGGGCAACAGAAGAAGCUCUGCAAGCCCCCUUGUCCUCCUCCCACCGAGAAGAAGCUUUGCUUCGAAGAUUUCACUUCGAGUAUUUGCAAGAACUCAGGUUUUAGACGAGUGUUCCCUCGGGAUGAAGAAGAAGCCGCGAUCCUCCUAAUGGCCUUAUCUUGUGACCUUGUUUACAGUUGAUUAAUUGAUAUUUCGGCUCCCCACUUCCCAUUUUUUUCUUUGGAUUAUGAUUAAGGUUUUGUCUGUGAACGAGAGUGAGUUGAUCAUUUGCUUCACCAUAGCUGAUCUCCAAAUAAAUAUCAUGGAGUAUCCAUCUUAGGCUUCAAAUAAAGCCCCCUUUUGCUGUAAUAUCUUUUUCUGCUUUACCCGAAAUAAUAGGGUUUUUUUUUGUUUUCUUCAAAUAUGUGAUGGAUGGAGUUUGAUCUUCAAACAAAAUAACGACUCCCUCCCAAUGUGGGAUUUGUGUCCCAUGCGUUUGGGAGGUAAAGAGACAGACAUCGUUACCGGAUGAACAAACAAAAGCUGACAUCGGGUAAUGAACCCUUCCAAUCCAAUGUGGGAUUUGUAACCCAUGGGAUUAAGAGGUAAAGAGACAGACACCCCUCACGGUCAAACAAACAAAGUCCCAUAUCGGGGUUGGGAUGCUCUAAUUCCAUUUGGAAUGAUCCAGUAUAGAUAUUGUUCGUACUGAAACUAAAAGAUGCUCACGGCUUUAGGAGUCUACAUAGUUAAGAAGGGUCAUACAUGUGUAGAGCCAACAACAUAUUUCACUCCCUAGUCAUGGAAUUGAAACCGAGGCCUGCUGCAUUAGUACUGGUACCCACUGCACAGACCGUGAACCAGUUCAUUAUCAGGGUCAAGACAGGCAGUAGUACUGUUAACACAUGUAAAUUAUGUGUUAUUUGUAGUUUAGGAAGAAUGCCCAAAUUCAAGGACCAUAGUACUGAAGGAGCUACAUGGGAAUUCUGUGCUCUUAUAAAGAAAACUGCAAGUCAAUGGCUAAAAUUAAUGCACUGGACAUUAGUAGCAGAGAAGAAGAUGGGAAUUAAUUAGUAGAUUGAAACCCAGUUUUGAAUUGUGGUGAUGUAUAGGUUCUGACAUGAAAUUUGAACAAAUGAAAAGGAGUUGCCAUCUUCCAAUGAUCUGUAAUUAAGUUGAUAGCAAGCUGGACGUACAGCUUACAAGAAAACAUCACAUUAUUAAUUGGAUCAGUGAUUGUGCCAUGCCUAUAUGUCAAAGAUUACCAACAGAAUCUUGAACUAAAAUGGAAGGUUCAUCUGUGAUUUCUGUCUAUGGAUAAAUUAUGUUUGGUUCUUCCAACUCCAGCCCAGAGUUUUGAAUUGCAGAAUCUUCAUGCUGAUGGUAGAACUUAGAAGUAGGACAAGAUGGUGUAGUUUGUAUAGGGAUUUUCCUGGGAAACGAACAGGCCCUCAAAAUUGCUUUCAUGUCUUAGAAAGUUGAAACAGUGUUGAUGCCCAUGGUUGUCAUGAUUCAGUCUGAUGACCCAACAAAUUAAAGUAAAUGUUGAUGUAUUCCAAAUGAUCAAGAUCCAUCAUGUUGUGCAAAAAUUGUAUAUGCAUGAUGGUUGCUGGGGAAUUAUUGGAAAUGGGCCAUGGACUUUUCGCGAGGGAUGUACGUGUAUGAGUAUUGCCAAUGAUUUAGGGCUUCAAUGGCUCAAAAGGGAAACACAGGGUUUCAUGUGGGUGGAAAAGGAAUUGCUAUGGUCUUAAACGUUGGUACAACAUUGAAUUUGGGAGGUAUUGAAUCUGAUUUUAUUAUUUAAAUUCCAAAAAUGGUUUAGGAUUUAAGGUGCUAAGCUGGUGUUUGUUUUUUUACUUAAUUCUAAAUAGAACCUUAAUGUUUAAUAGUGUUAAAUAUUAGGUUGUUUGUUUUUAUAGUAUUUUAUUUCUAUUAAGUAUUAAAAAGUAUAAAAAAUCAAUAUGUUAUUUUUUCUAUUUAGAAAAAGCUAUAUAUUUUGGUUUUUUCUAUUUAGUAAAAAGUUUAUAAUAAGUCAUGAAAAAGUAGAAAAACAAACAAUCUAAAUUCUAAAACUAAAUUGCUUUUAGUAAAAAAUCAAAAAAACAAACACCACCUUAGUAUUUUUUUUUUAUUUUUUUUUUUAUAAUCGAGGAACAUUUCAUGGCCAAGUCUUUAAGACUCUUCAUGGAGAGCCAAAUCUCAGGUGCUGUCCCGCAACAACCAAUAUCGGAUAAAUUCAAGUAUUUACCCUAAAUUAUUUAAAUUUAUGAUGUUUAUCAAUUAAAUUCUUACUAUACUUUUUGUAUAAGAUAUUUUACUUUAAUACAAAAAAAAAAAAAAUUAAAAACAAAAACAGGAUUGGAUCUAAACCAACAAUAAAUUAUUGAUUAUGAUAAACAUGUGUAAAAGCCAAAAUAAGGAUAUUAAAAUAGUAAUUAUGAUAAAUAUUUAUAAACUAUUUCUAUAAAAUUAAUUAUAAUUCAUAGUGUUUUAAUUUUAAUUUUUUUAAAUGAAUUCUCUCAUUCUUCUAUUUUAACUAAAUUCAAGUAAAUAUAUUUAUAGAAAUAAUUUUUUUUCUCUAGUAAAAAUAGACGAGAAAGAGAAAAAUAUGUAAAUAAAUUGUAAAAGAAAAUUAUUUGGAGACAUAAUACAUAACUUAAAAUAAAAGAUCAUGAUUCUUGAAAAGUCACUUUUGAAAUGCUACAGUUAACCCACCCCUCAAAUCUAAUUACUAAUAUUAAAAACUUUAAGCUUUGGGACAAUUUAUAAUGCAAUAAUAAGGAUUGCAUGUGAUGACAAUAUGCUAUUUCAUACUAGAUGAUUAUUUUUGUAUUUAUUUUGUGGGAAUAUGAGGUUGUUAUAAUGUAUCUAUUAAAAAAUAAAUUUUGAUUGACUCAAUUUUGUAGCUUUGGAAGACUCGAGAAAGAAGGGCACAGAAUUUGUUUUUAAAAUAUGUUUUCUACAACAAUUUUAAUGUGUUUUCAAUUAUUAUUUUUAAAAUAUUCAGAAUAGUAAUUAAAAAUAUGAAAAAUAUUUUAAAAACAUUUGCAUUAUGUACAACGCCUAUAUGAAAAAUAAGUCCAACAUACUGUUUUCCAUAUUUUAGUUUUUUUUUUUUUAAAUAAAAUAUUUUUGAAAACAAUUAAGAGGUUUUUGGGACUGUAGAGGCCUUGUAAUUUUCGUUGUGAGAAAUAUCACAAGCCCUUCAUUUCUUGUAAAUUAAUCAAAGCCGUUGGUUGUUUCACACCACAGAUUCCCCAAACUGAAUCCCCACCGUAGAUCUCUGGGUCCUACCAAGACCACCAACCACCAGAUCAAAGAUCUUGGCAGUGAUGUCUCAUUAAGGAUUCCAUGCUCUUUGUUACAUAGGAUCACCAAAUCAAACAACGUCUUCCCUAAAGCCCUAACCUUUUUUUUUUUUUUUUUUUUUUAAUUCAUUCAUGUAGGGAUAAGCAGAAUGUGAAAGAGAAUCUGCCAACAAAGUUUCACACUUUCUCACCCCAAAAAAUGAAAAAAGAAAAGGGGAGGUAAAUCCAAAGCGGAAAUGAAAUAAAAGUCUUGUUUUGAAUGUUUUUGGAAAUUCUGAAAUAGAAUUUGAUCCACUGAAAUUCAAUCCAUUUUGCUUCACACAUUCAGAUUUUGUAACCAUUCUAUUUUUCAACUCCACCAUUGGUUCUUGCAGUAAUGAUCCUCAAAACCCUGUCCUUUUCUCCUAGGUGCGCGCUGUCCAUCUUAACCUUCACACUCUCACCACCCACCACCACCACCA